UACGUAGGGUGCGAGCGUUAAUCGGAAUUACUGGGCGUAAAGCGUGCGCAGGCGGUUUUGUAAGCCAGAUGUGAAAUCCCCGGGCUUAACCUGGGAACUGCAUUUGGGACUGCAAGGCUUGAGUACGGCAGAGGGGGGUGGAAUUCCGCGUGUAGCAGUGAAAUGCGUAGAGAUGCGGAGGAACACCGAUGGCGAAGGCAGCCCCCUGGGCUAACACUGACGCUCAGGCACGAAAGCGUGGGGAGUAAACAGG
This 253-nucleotide ribosomal RNA is filed under the name uncultured bacterium. RNAcentral describes it as "partial 16S ribosomal RNA". It matches the Rfam family "Bacterial small subunit ribosomal RNA", at positions 524 to 776 of the family's 1533-position model. The record is from RNAcentral.